RNAcentral lists this microRNA (19 nucleotides) under Gallus gallus (chicken). RNAcentral's name for it is "microRNA Ros-gga". Lineage: Eukaryota; Metazoa; Chordata; Aves; Galliformes; Phasianidae. The record is from RNAcentral.
ACCAACGCCGCCGGAUCCC